Molecule: ribosomal RNA, 468 nt
Filed under: uncultured bacterium
Lineage: Bacteria
Description: partial 16S ribosomal RNA
Rfam family: Bacterial small subunit ribosomal RNA
Source: RNAcentral
GACGAACGCUGGCGGCGUGCUUAACACAUGCAAGUCGAACGGAAAGGCCCUGCUUUUGUGGGGUGCUCGAGUGGCGAACGGGUGAGUAACACGCGAGUAACCUGCCCUUGACUUUGGGAUAACUUCAGGAAACUGGGGCUAAUAUCGGAUAGGAGCUCCUGCUGCAUGGUGGGGGUUGGAAAGUUUCGGCGGUUGGGGAUGGACUCGCGGCUUAUCAGCUUGUUGGUGGGGUAGUGGCUUACCAAGGCUUUGACGGGUAGCCGGCCUGGGAGGGUGCCCGGCCCCAUUGGGACUGAGAUACGGCCCAGACUCCUACGGGAGGCAGCAGUGGGGAAUAUUGCACAAUGGGCGGAAGCCUGAUGCAGCAACGCCGCGUGCGGGAUGACGGCCUUCGGGUUAUAAACCGCUUUCGCCUGUGACGAAGCGUGAGUGACGGUAAUGGGUAAAGAAGCACCGGCUAACUACGUG